This is a long non-coding RNA of Lycium barbarum (goji berry), 1001 nucleotides long. RefSeq lists it as uncharacterized. The record is from RefSeq and is a predicted model, not a curated record. Lineage: Eukaryota; Viridiplantae; Streptophyta; Magnoliopsida; Solanales; Solanaceae. The transcript is spliced from 2 exons.
AUUAUUAUUAUUUCUUAACCUUAUUCUCUGAUGAAUACCCUAUAAGUGUAAAUUCUAUGUUAUUUGAGAUUUUGAAUUGUUGAGACCCUGUUAAGGGUGGGUUUUCUUGCUUUGAAUUAUUUAGUUCAAUUUGACUGUUUUGUCCUUUUGGUUACUCGAUAUAUGUUGUUGAAAAUAUUUUCUUUUUUCAAGAGGUGUUCAACUUCAAGCUGGGUUUUGGGUUUUCGUGCUUCUGCAUUUUAUUUUCUGAAACUUUAGUUGUUUUCUUGUUAUGUUACAUGUAAUUUGGGAUGACCAUUCUUUUUGCCCAUUUGGGUGCCAAAAAAAAGGAAAAUGUGAGGUUUUUUUUAUCAUGUUUUCGUUAUUGUUUAAAGAACCCUUAAUUUGACUUACAAGACAAGGUAUUUAGUAUUGAAAUGGACCUGAAUAGAGAAAAUGGGUACAGAGGAUUCAUGUAGCUGAAUUCAACUAAUUUGGAAUUGAGGGUAGUUGAUUGGGGAGGCGGGGCGCGGUGGGGUGUGGGGGGGGGGGGUGGGGGGUGUUCAGGGUCUACGCUUUGUAUUAUAUCGGAUUUUAACUGUUCGUCAAGUAUGCCAGGUAUGUGUUUGGACAAUUUCAGGGGUUGACAAAUCUAUAACGAUGGGUCUAAUCUUAUUCUAGGCGUGCGGAGCUACUUAUUCUUUCUUUCAUUCCGUUUGUUUGAUUGGUUAAAGAGAGCGUUUUGGUAAAGACUAUUCCAUCGAGAGUGGCUGAACAGUGAACACUUCUUCAAAGGAAUGGUGGGAACUGUGAUCCCGAGUAGAUAGUUGUAUUCUUCUACUCUCUCUAUUUUGGCUUGGGUCACUCUUGGGUUCAUCUCUCUGAGUUCGAGCGGUAGAACUCCUUCUAGGCAGAUUAGAACUGUAGUGUCAAUUCCAACACAAGUCCUUUUUUUAUAUAUUUUUGUUUUCAAUUCAAAUUUCUUUAUAUUGACAACGGUGUAUCAAACAAUUUGAGGUUAA